GUGAACGCUAGCGGUGCGCCUAACACAUGCAAGUCGAGUGGGUUCAGACCCACGGCGAACGGCUGAGUAACACGUUGGUACCUGCCCCGAACUCAGGGAUAACCCCGCGAAAGCGGUGCUAAUACCGGAUGCCCUCGCAAGAGGAAAGAUUUUUCGGUUCGGGAGGGGCCUGCGGCCUAUCAGAUAGUUGGUGAGGUAAUGGCUUACCAAGUCUAUGAUGGGUAGCUGGUCUGAGAGGACGACCAGCCAGAAUGGAACUGAGACACGGUCCAUACUCCUACGGGAGGCAGCAGUGAGGAAUCUUCCGCAAUGGGCGAAAGCCUGACGGAGCGACACCGCGUGAAGGAUGACACCCUUUUGGGCGUAAACUUCUGUUCUGAGGGACGAAAUUUUUGACGGUACCUCAGGAGAAAGCACCGGCUAAUUCUGU
RNAcentral lists this ribosomal RNA (430 nucleotides) under uncultured bacterium. Its description in RNAcentral is "bacterial SSU rRNA". It matches the Rfam family "Bacterial small subunit ribosomal RNA", at positions 29 to 506 of the family's 1533-position model. The record is from RNAcentral.